CAUCCCCAUGAGACUUGUUUAUGUACUUGAUUGAUUUUGAUAAUUCUUGGUGCCUUCUGCAGGGGCAAGCCCUUUGCAUCGAGCGCGUGGAAGGCCAGGAUGUCUGCUACCUAAGUUGCUCUUGCAGUGUCCUGACAGAUGCUGAAGCCUAUGAAGGAGGCUGGAAAUGGCAGGGAAGCCACAGCUUUGUUCUCAUUUAAACCUGAAUGGCCAUUGACUUCUUUUGAAAAAGAAAAAAAUGGUAAGUCUUUCAUUGCCUUUCUCAUAAGCGUGACUUAGAUUUCCUAUUCCUGCUUUUUGAGAUGACCCGAUUGCCUCUGUUUCAGGCUCCGUGGUUCAUUUCUUCAACCUCUAAACCGUUUCAGCUUCCUUUAGGCCAUGGAUAGAAAGCUGGUGAAAAGUCAGCAAAUAUUUUCCAUAAAUAGCUGUUGGAUCCCAAACCUCCACAAACCAACUUUUGAGUUUUUUUCUUUUUAAGGAGAAAUAAGUAGAGAAGUGAGAAUCAGUUUUAAGGAUCUGGUGCCUAGCGAGGUGCUGGCAAGCAGUCUGAGAGCCCCAGAAACUUGUAGAGAACCUGAAACACGGUGCCUGAUGGAGCUCUCCUCUAUUUUUAAUCGAGGAUGGUAUUUGGGAAUUAGCAAUCAGAAAGUAUUUUUCAGCAUGGGAGAGGUAAGAGGGAAGAAUGUGUUAUCCAGUCCAAUUUUGGCAAUUCCAUUUUAGAAUUUUCUUUUAAUUGGAGGAGGAUAUUGUUUGUUUGCUUUUUAAAGAAAAGAAUCACAGUUAUUUUAGGAUGUGUGAUCCUGGAAGAUAUUAUAUUCAGAUCUCUUUAAAAGAAAAGCAUUUAACUUUAUUUUGAGAUUCAAUCUCCACUUGAAGUUUCCUCAUAGUGCAUAAGUUUGUCCAGCGUAUUUCUGUAGUCACUGGGAAGAGUAAAUGACAGUUCGAAAUAGAAGGAUCGGGACAGCUGCAUAUGACAGGCAGGUUGCACACCGCAAAUGCUGUGGGGUGCCAUUGCUGAGACUGCAAUACAAGCAGUAUUCCCUGGACCUGUGAGCUUCAGUGGUCCUGAGAAGGAGACUGGGCUUUCUUCAUGCAAGUAAUGACAGUGAAGAAUCACAGUUGUCAUUGCUACCUCUGCCUACAAUUAUUAGUUGACUGUGUACUUAAGGUUAUUCAGUAAUUUUAUUUUGAGAUCUGGUCUAUGCAUUACCUCUUUAGCUCACUUUAGAGGUAAUAGCAUAGGCAUAGGAAGAACAUCUACUGACCUGGUAGAAAAGAUGCUCUGAUAACAUAUGCAUUGUUUGUUUGGACAAUAAUAAUAUUCCUAGGAGCAAAGGUCAGACUAUGCCUUUGAUCAUUUUCCCAGAUAGUCUUUUAGACACAGCACCACAGCUGGGGCAACCAUGAAGUACAGCUAAUUUUCCAGUAGAGGACAGAACUAUGGUUUGCUAUGCAGAAUAAUCUCAGCCUGCUAUUAUUGUUAUUUUUCUCCCAGUUUUUCUUGUCAUUCCCAUGAUGAUGUAAUAGCUCAGUUCUACCCAAGAGUCACAGAAAAUUAGAUGGAAUUGCUUGGUCUGGUCCUCUGGAUAAACAUCUCUUGCCAUUGUCACUCUGAUGGUCCCCUCUUAGCCCGGUCACCUGAACUCUCCAUAUGAUUCUGGAAUCUGGGUGUCUCUUGGACUCUCAGUGAAGUUCCUCUGGAGGAAAGACCAUCCUCUCAGUCCAUAGACAAGCCAGGAUAGCAUAGGUGUGAAGAGUGCUGGGUUUUCAGGAAGCAGGAGAAAGAUCACCAGGCUGAGGAGCUUUUCCAGGUCCUUUCUGAAAGCAGAUUUGCUAGAUUCUCAUGCCAGUUCAAACUGAGUGUUUAAGGACCUUUCCUCAUAUACUGAAUAUUAUAAAUCUCUGUAGUAUUCAGGGGAGUGGACAAGAGCAUAAUGUA
Molecule: long non-coding RNA, 1939 nt
Organism: Callithrix jacchus (white-tufted-ear marmoset)
Lineage: Eukaryota; Metazoa; Chordata; Mammalia; Primates; Cebidae
Source: Ensembl